This is a long non-coding RNA of Carassius gibelio (silver crucian carp), 817 nucleotides long. RefSeq lists it as uncharacterized. NCBI's taxonomy places the organism in Eukaryota, Metazoa, Chordata, Actinopteri, Cypriniformes, Cyprinidae. The record is from RefSeq and is a predicted model, not a curated record. The transcript has 3 exons.
AUGAAUUUAGUUUGUGUUGUUUGAAAUGGUUGUAUAUUUUUGUAUAUUUUUUGGUUAUAAUAGUUAUGCCUUUGUUACGGUUAAAUUGCUAUUUAUUUGUUUCGUCUUUCUAGAACUGAUUUGUUACCAUCAAUAACUUAAUGGUUUAGUCCAAGUGGGAGGUGAUUAUACUUUUUAAGAGUUUCUCUCAGUCUUGUAAAGGGAACUCAUAGAGUGAGUUGGUGAAGUUGCUUGCUUGAGUUUUGGGUCAAGUUCUUGAUAUAGGCCAAAUUUUUGUUUGUACAUUUAAGCUUUGUACAGUGUUUUUUUUUUUUUUUUUUUUAUCUUUUGAUACUUUUGGAGUAACACUGUAAAUGUCAUUUUGUAAAAUCUUUGUUUUUCAUAUUUUGGAAAAAACAACAACUUUUUGACUUCAUCAGCACGUCACUUCAUUUUUUUUCAUGCCUCCAUGGGCCGGUAUGUCCAGAGCCGGGGUGGCAGUUGGCACACCACUGUCUCUGUUACAGUGACCUUAGGGAGCAUGAUUGAUUGCAGCAUGGUAGAAGACUAGUUAAGUACGCAUGGAGCUAACCCAUUAAAGGGCCUUAUUGGUUUGGGAUUCGACUUUUUUGUUCUUCAAGGACAUUCAUCCUGCUGCCAAGAACUGUCAAACAGGAGCAUCUCAGUAUAAAGAGAUGCUGAGCCGUAACAGUUUACCUCUCCACACAGUCAGAGAGACGUGAGGAAUGGUUUGAAGCUGGUGCAUCAUGUCCUCCGACUGCAUACAAGAAACUGUUAUAUGUGGCCACGCCCACUCCUCCCCUCCUCUUUGACAUGG